RNAcentral lists this ribosomal RNA (338 nucleotides) under uncultured Prevotella sp. RNAcentral describes it as "bacterial SSU rRNA". It matches the Rfam family "Bacterial small subunit ribosomal RNA", at positions 8 to 338 of the family's 1533-position model. Lineage: Bacteria; Pseudomonadati; Bacteroidota; Bacteroidia; Bacteroidales; Prevotellaceae. The record is from RNAcentral.
AGAGUUUGAUCAUGGCUCAGGAUGAACGCUAGCUACAGGCUUAACACAUGCAAGUCGAGGGGCAGCAUAACGAAAGCUUGCUUUUGUUGAUGGCGACCGGCGCACGGGUGAGUAACGCGUAUCCAACCUUCCCUAUAGUAGAGAAUAGCCCGGCGAAAGUCGGAUUAAUGCUCUAUGUUGUAUUUAGAAGACAUCUGAAGAAUACCAAAGGUUUACCGCUAUAGGAUGGGGAUGCGUCUGAUUAGGUAGUAGGCGGGGUAACGGCCCACCUAGCCGACGAUCAGUAGGGGUUCUGAGAGGAAGGUCCCCCACAUUGGAACUGAGCCAGGAUCAAACUC